This 362-nucleotide transfer-messenger RNA is filed under the name Octadecabacter sp. It matches the Rfam family "Alphaproteobacteria transfer-messenger RNA". Rfam says of the family: Bacterial tmRNA, also known as 10Sa RNA or SsrA, is named for its dual tRNA and mRNA-like properties. Its role is to liberate the mRNA from a stalled ribosome. The record is from RNAcentral. Lineage: Bacteria; Pseudomonadati; Pseudomonadota; Alphaproteobacteria; Rhodobacterales; Roseobacteraceae.
CCUCUUGAACUCAUCGAGCGUUGCCGCUAAUAAUUAAAAGUCCCUUGGGACUAUGGAUAUAAACGCGCUUGCAAUAAGCGGAUCGGACCCGGGGGCGGUACCCGGCGUCUCCACCAUCACGCCCUUAGCUGGGAUGGCUCAUUUGGCCGAUAUGGGGACGAAAUAGGAUCGACGAACGUCUAAAGAGGUUAGCUUUAUCUCGGCGAGUUACCACCGUAUCGGUACAUAAAAGCUAGUUGCAAAUGACAACAAUGCUCAGGUAGCACUCGCAGCGUAAGCUGUGCGUAAUACCGAAACUUAAGUCCUUUCGCCUAGCAGCGUAAGGCGGGGUUCGCAGGCACCUGGCAACAGAAGCCUGUAUU